AUACGGAGGAUCCGAGCGUUAUCCGGAUUUAUUGGGUUUAAAGGGUGCGCAGGCGGCCAUUUAAGUCAGCGGUUAAAUCGUGGGGCUCAACCCCAUUCUGCCGUUGAUACUGGGUGGCUUGAUUGCGGUCGAGGUUGGCGGAAUUCGUUGUGUAGCGGGGAAAUGCAUAGAUAUGACGAAGAACACCGAUUGCGUAGGCAGCUGACCAGACCGCAAAUGACGCUCAUGCACGAAAGUGCGGGGAUCGAACAGGAUUAGAUACCCUGGUAGUCCGCACAGUAAACGAUGAAUACUUGUUUUCGGCGAUAUAAUGUCGGAGGCAAAGCGAAAGCGAUAAGUAUUCCACCUGGGGAGUACGCCGGCAACGGUGAAACUCAAAGGAAUUGACGGGG
RNAcentral lists this ribosomal RNA (392 nucleotides) under uncultured bacterium. RNAcentral's name for it is "partial 16S ribosomal RNA". It matches the Rfam family "Bacterial small subunit ribosomal RNA", at positions 523 to 918 of the family's 1533-position model. The record is from RNAcentral.